This 253-nucleotide ribosomal RNA is filed under the name uncultured bacterium. RNAcentral's name for it is "partial 16S ribosomal RNA". It matches the Rfam family "Bacterial small subunit ribosomal RNA", at positions 524 to 776 of the family's 1533-position model. The record is from RNAcentral.
UACGUAGGGUGCAAGCGUUGUCCGGAAUUAUUGGGCGUAAAGAGCUCGUAGGCGGUUUGUUGCGUCGGCUGUGAAAUCCCGAGGCUCAACCUCGGGUCUGCAGUCGAUACGAGCAAACUAGAGUGUUGCAGGGGAGAACGGAAUUCCUGGUGUAGCGGUGAAAUGCGCAGAUAUCAGGAGGAACACCGGUGGCGAAGGCGGUGGUCUGGGCCGGAACUGACGCUGAGGAGCGAAAGCGUGGGGAGCGAACAGG